GAUGAACGCUGGCGGCGUGCCUAAUACAUGCGAGUCGAGCGAACGGACGAGAAGCUUGCUUUUCUGAUGUUAGCGGCGGACGGGUGAGUAACACGUGGAUAACCUACCUAUAAGACUGGGAUAACUUCGGGAAACCGGAGCUAAUACCGGAUAAUAUUUUGAACCGCAUGGUUCAAAAGUGAAAGACGGUCUUGCUGUCACUUAUAGAUGGAUCCGCGCUGCAUUAGCUAGUUGGUAAGGUAACGGCUUACCAAGGCAACGAUGCAUAGCCGACCUGAGAGGGUGAUCGGCCACACUGGAACUGAGACACGGUCCAGACUCCUACGGGAGGCAGCAGUAGGGAAUCUUCCGCAAUGGGCGAAGGCCUGACGGAGCAACGCCGCGUGAGUGAUGAAGGUCUUCGGAUCGUAAAACUCUGUUAUUAGGGAAGAACAUAUGUGUAAGUAACUGUGCACAUCUUGACGGUACCUAAUCAGAAAGCCACGGCUAACUACGUG
This 497-nucleotide ribosomal RNA is filed under the name uncultured bacterium. Its description in RNAcentral is "partial 16S ribosomal RNA". It matches the Rfam family "Bacterial small subunit ribosomal RNA", at positions 28 to 507 of the family's 1533-position model. The record is from RNAcentral.